GCCCUUGUAGCUCAGACGGUAGAGCACUUGACUUUUAAUCAAGGUGUCCGGAGUUCGAAUCUCCGCAAGAGCACCA
Molecule: transfer RNA, 76 nt
Filed under: Clostridia bacterium
Lineage: Bacteria; Bacillati; Bacillota; Clostridia
Also listed under: 1 other name
Description: tRNA-Lys
Rfam family: tRNA
About the family: Transfer RNA (tRNA) molecules are approximately 80 nucleotides in length. Their secondary structure includes four short double-helical elements and three loops (D, anti-codon, and T loops). Further hydrogen bonds mediate the characteristic L-shaped molecular structure. tRNAs have two regions of fundamental functional importance: the anti-codon, which is responsible for specific mRNA codon recognition, and the 3' end, to which the tRNAs corresponding amino acid is attached (by aminoacyl-tRNA synthetases). tRNAs cope with the degeneracy of the genetic code in two manners: having more than one tRNA (with a specific anti-codon) for a particular amino acid; and 'wobble' base-pairing, i.e. permitting non-standard base-pairing at the 3rd anti-codon position.
Source: RNAcentral